AGAGUUGAUCAUGGCUCAGGACGAACGCUGGCGGCGUGCUUAACACAUGCAAGUCGAACGGGGAUUAAUGCGGAAGCCUCGGGUGGAAGGAUUAAUCGAGUGGCGGACGGGUGAGUAACGCGUGAGCAACCUGUCCCAGACAGGGGAAUAACACUUGGAAACAGGUGCUAAUACCGCAUAAGACCACGGGGUCGCAUGGCUCUGGGGGUAAAAGGAGUAAUCCGGUUUGGGGUGGGCUCGCGUCCGAUUAGAUAGUUGGUGAGGUAACGGCCCACCAAGUCGACGAUCGGUAGCCGACCUGAGAGGGUGAUCGGCCACAUUGGAACUGAGAGACGGUCCAAACUCCUACGGGAGGCAGCAGUGGGGAAUAUUGGGCAAUGGGCGAAAGCCUGAACCCCAGCAACGCCGCGUGAGUGAAGAAGGCUUUCGGGUUGUAAAGCUCUGUUAUGAGGGACGAAGGAAGUGACGGUACCUCAUAAGGAAGCCCCGGCUAACUACGUGCCAGCAGCUGC
Molecule: ribosomal RNA, 512 nt
Filed under: uncultured bacterium
Lineage: Bacteria
Description: bacterial SSU rRNA
Rfam family: Bacterial small subunit ribosomal RNA
Source: RNAcentral